GUCUCUCGAUUUUGCUUGUCGUCUUUUUAUUUGAUUGGUACUUUUGUAGCACACACGAGGCAUGUUCCUUGGUACCUUUGAGCCUUUCUAUCCACCCUUACAUAUAAUUAUCCUUUGCUUAACCAACUUGAGCUGAAAAAGAAUAUGUUAUUUUUGCAAAACCUUAAGAAAUUUUUGAUGAAAAAAAAGAAUGACUUUCUUGGAGGUUAGGCACCUAAUUAGUGGUUGAUGCGCAUUGCUCACCACUAAGUUUGGGGUUGCUCUUUGGAAUUAGC
This 275-nucleotide long non-coding RNA is filed under the name Trifolium pratense (red clover). Its description in RNAcentral is "long non-coding RNA (TPRA_LNC007392)". The record is from RNAcentral. Lineage: Eukaryota; Viridiplantae; Streptophyta; Magnoliopsida; Fabales; Fabaceae.